UACGUAGGUCCCGAGCGUUGUCCGGAUUUAUUGGGCGUAAAGCGAGCGCAGGUGGUUUAUUAAGUCUGGUGUAAAAGGCAGUGGCUCAACCAUUGUAUGCAUUGAAAACUGGUAGACUUGAGUGCAGGAGAGGAGAGUGGAAUUCCAUGUGUAGCGGUGAAAUGCGUGGAUAUAUGGAGGAACACCGGUGGCGAAAGCGGCUCUCUGGCCUGUAACUGACACUGAGGCUCGAAAGCGUGGGGAGCAAACAGG
Molecule: ribosomal RNA, 252 nt
Filed under: uncultured bacterium
Lineage: Bacteria
Description: partial 16S ribosomal RNA
Rfam family: Bacterial small subunit ribosomal RNA
Source: RNAcentral